RNAcentral lists this unclassified non-coding RNA (263 nucleotides) under Hevea brasiliensis (rubber tree). Lineage: Eukaryota; Viridiplantae; Streptophyta; Magnoliopsida; Malpighiales; Euphorbiaceae. The record is from RNAcentral.
CCCCCCCCCCCCCCCUUCCUUCUCCAUCCUUUUGAGUGUGGGAAGAGAGGGGCAGAUUUAUAGUUUUCAGCUUUCUGUUUUUUUUUGGUUCUGGAUAUGAAUGAAUCUAAUUUGUGCUGAAUUGCGUCGCGAGAGAAGAUGUUUUAUGCGAGCCUAAGAUGAGAACUUUGAAAAAAUCCAGUGGUUAUUUUUUUUUCCCUGAAGUUUUACGUGUAGUACCUUGACUGAAAUGAAAACAGAAGAAUUUGUGGCUCAUUCAACCA